GGGCACUUUAUUUUGUGGAGGAAGGAAAAGGGAGUUGAAAAGAGAUGGAGGUAAAGGAAUUCAUAAUUGAUGGCCAAUGGAACUGAUAGAAUUUACAAGGAAUGCUAUCAGAGGAAAUGGUGGACUACAUUGCUCAAAACAUCAUUCCAAGGCUAAAUAAUGAUGAUAAUGACAGAGCUUGGUGGAUGAGCUACAACACUGAAGAAUUUAGUGUGAAAACAAC
RNAcentral lists this long non-coding RNA (223 nucleotides) under Solanum tuberosum (potato). RNAcentral describes it as "long non-coding RNA (STUB_LNC005602)". The record is from RNAcentral. Lineage: Eukaryota; Viridiplantae; Streptophyta; Magnoliopsida; Solanales; Solanaceae.